AAAUAAGAACUAACUCUGGUCAAGUAACAUUUGUUAAAUCUGUCCAAUCAUAUUCGUCUCGGAAAAUAAGGAAUUUAAAACACUCAUUGCGAAUGAAGAAUCCACUGUAUUUCCUUUUCUGGCUAAUUGUCUUGCUCUGGCUGUCGUUUAUUGUGGCCUUUAUCGGCGCCUUCUUCUACAUAUUCACCUACAUGUUCGCUCAAUGCAGUGACUGCUGCCAGGGUCUUGCUACAUUUUUCCUAAAGUGCGUUCAGUUUCCCGGAUACUGCGCUGCAGGUAUGAUGCACUGCAAGAAACCGUGCUAAAAGCAGCCAAAGAUGGCAUUCACCGAACACCGGACAUCUAAGAUGUCAGCCUUCACCAUACAUAUGUACACUAUAUUGUUUUGCAGUUUUCUUUUUUUACUUUUGAUACGAUACUGCCUGAUGAUAUUCCUCUGCGUUUGAACUUUCAUCGACUUCAAAACCGAUAGCGGUUUUUCAGCCGCUAUAAUUCAUUACAGAUUAAGAGAUCGGUGGAGCAUGACUUGGGCCGCUUAUUGAGUGAUCUUACUUUAUUUAGAUUUUGAAUAUGCAGACUUAGAUUUAAAUAAAUGACACGUUCAUUCAUAUAUUAUACAAUAUAUCUCA
Molecule: long non-coding RNA, 629 nt
Organism: Drosophila obscura
Lineage: Eukaryota; Metazoa; Arthropoda; Insecta; Diptera; Drosophilidae
Exons: 3
Source: RefSeq, a predicted model, not a curated record